RNAcentral lists this ribosomal RNA (115 nucleotides) under Pteropus alecto (black flying fox). Lineage: Eukaryota; Metazoa; Chordata; Mammalia; Chiroptera; Pteropodidae. The record is from RNAcentral.
GUCUACAGCCUUGCCACCCUGAACAAGCUCCCAUCUGAUCUUGGAAGCUAAGCAGGGUUGGGCUUGGUUAGUAAUUGGAUGGGAGACCACCUAGGAAGACCAGGUGCUGUAGGUG